Molecule: ribosomal RNA, 700 nt
Filed under: uncultured bacterium
Lineage: Bacteria
Description: bacterial SSU rRNA
Rfam family: Bacterial small subunit ribosomal RNA
Source: RNAcentral
UGCAAGUCGAACGGCAGCGGGGACUUCGGUCCGCCGGCGAGUGGCGAACGGGUGAGUAAAGUAUCGGAACGUACCUUUCAGUGGGGGAUAACGUAGCGAAAGUUACGCUAAUACCGCAUAUUCUGUGAGCAGGAAAGCAGGGGAUCGCAAGACCUUGCGCUGAUUGAGCGGCCGAUAUCAGAUUAGCUAGUUGGUGAGGUAAAGGCUCACCAAGGCGACGAUCUGUAGCGGGUCUGAGAGGAUGAUCCGCCACACUGGAACUGAGACACGGUCCAGACUCCUACGGGAGGCAGCAGUGGGGAAUUUUGGACAAUGGGGGCAACCCUGAUCCAGCCAUGCCGCGUGAGUGAAGAAGGCCUUCGGGUUGUAAAGCUCUUUCGGCCGGGAAGAAAUCGUAUGGGUUAAUACCCUGUGCGGAUGACGGUACCGGCAUAAGAAGCACCGGCUAACUACGUGCCAGCAGCCGCGGUAAUACGUAGGGUGCGAGCGUUAAUCGGAAUUACUGGGCGUAAAGCGUGCGCAGGCGGUUUUGUAAGACAGGCGUGAAAUCCCCGGGCUCAACCUGGGAACUGCGCUUGUGACUGCAAGGCUAGAGUAUGGCAGAGGGGGGUGGAAUUCCACGUGUAGCAGUGAAAUGCGUAGAGAUGUGGAGGAACACCAAUGGCGAAGGCAGCCCCCUGGGCCAAUACUGACGCUCAUG